GUGCCAGCAGCCGCGGUAAUACGUAGGCAGCAAGCGUUGUUCGGAAUUACUGGGCGUAAAGAGUGUGUAGGCGGUUCGCCAAGUCUGGCGUGAAAUCUCCCGGCUUAACUGGGAGGGUGCGCCGGAUACUGGCGGGCUGGAGUGCGGGAGAGGAGAGCGGAAUUCCUGGUGUAGCGGUGAAAUGCGUAGAUAUCAGGAGGAACACCUGCGGUGUAGACGGCUCUCUGGACCGCUACUGACGCUGAGACACGAAAGCGUGGGGAGCAAACAGGAUUAGAUACCCGCGUAGUCC
This 292-nucleotide ribosomal RNA is filed under the name uncultured bacterium. RNAcentral describes it as "partial 16S ribosomal RNA". It matches the Rfam family "Bacterial small subunit ribosomal RNA", at positions 505 to 796 of the family's 1533-position model. The record is from RNAcentral.